UACGUAGGGCGCAAGCGUUGUCCGGAAUUAUUGGGCGUAAAGAGCUCGUAGGUGGCGUGUCGCGUCUGCCGUGAAAGCCCAUGGCUUAACUGUGGGUCUGCGGUGGAUACGGGCAGGCUGGAGGCUGGUAGGGGCAAGCGGAAUUCCUGGUGUAGCGGUGAAAUGCGCAGAUAUCGGGAGGAACACCAGUGGCGAAAGCAGCUCACUGGGACGGUAUUGACGCUGAGACGCGAAAGCGUGGGGAGCAAACAGG
Molecule: ribosomal RNA, 253 nt
Filed under: uncultured bacterium
Lineage: Bacteria
Description: partial 16S ribosomal RNA
Rfam family: Bacterial small subunit ribosomal RNA
Source: RNAcentral